RNAcentral lists this ribosomal RNA (252 nucleotides) under uncultured bacterium. RNAcentral's name for it is "partial 16S ribosomal RNA". It matches the Rfam family "Bacterial small subunit ribosomal RNA", at positions 524 to 776 of the family's 1533-position model. The record is from RNAcentral.
UACAUGUGGGGCAAGCGUUGUUCGGAAUUACUGGGCAUAAAGGGUGCGUAGGCGGUUUGUUAAGUCAGGGGUGAAAUCCGGUGGCCCAACCAUCGAACGGCCUUUGAUACUGGCGAACUUGAGUGCGUGAGGGGUAACCGGAACGAGUAGUGUAGCGGUGAAAUGCGUAGAUAUUACUCGGAAGGCCAACGGCGAAGGCAGGUUACUGGUACGCAACUGACGCUGAGGCACGAAGCGUGGGGAGCAAACAGG